GAUGAACGCUAGCUACAGGCUUAACACAUGCAAGUCGAGGGGUAACAAGAGGAAAGCUUGCUUUCCUUGUUGACGACCGGCGCACGGGUGAGUAACGCGUAUCAAACCUGCCUAUAACUAGGGAAUAACCUUGCGAAAGUAAGACUAAUGCCCUAUGACUUCCUUUGGCGGCAUCAAAAAAGGAAUAAAGAUUUAUCGGUUAUAGAUGGGGAGGCGUCUGAUUAGCUUGUUGGCGGGGUAACGGCCCACCAAGGCAACGAUCAGUAGGGGUUCUGAGAGGAAGGUCCCCCACAUUGGAACUGAGACACGGUCCAAACUCCUACGGGAGGCAGCAGUGAGGAAUAUUGGCCAAUGGGCGGAAGCCUGAACCAGCCAAGUAGCGUGCAGGAUGACGGCCCUAUGGGUUGUAAACUGCUUUUAUACAGGAAUAAAGUUAGCCACGUGUGGUUAUUUGUAGGUACUGUAUGAAUAAGGACCGGCUAAUUCCGUGCCAGCAGCCGCGGUAA
RNAcentral lists this ribosomal RNA (506 nucleotides) under uncultured bacterium. RNAcentral's name for it is "partial 16S ribosomal RNA". It matches the Rfam family "Bacterial small subunit ribosomal RNA", at positions 28 to 523 of the family's 1533-position model. The record is from RNAcentral.